This 427-nucleotide ribosomal RNA is filed under the name uncultured bacterium. RNAcentral describes it as "bacterial SSU rRNA". It matches the Rfam family "Bacterial small subunit ribosomal RNA", at positions 355 to 774 of the family's 1533-position model. The record is from RNAcentral.
UGGGGAAUUUUGGACAAUGGGCGAAAGCCUGAUCCAGCAAUGCCGCGUGUGCGAAGAAGGCCUUCGGGUUGUAAAGCACUUUUGUCCGGAAAGAAAUCCGCCUGGCUAAUACCCGGGCGGGAUGACGGUACCGGAAGAAUAAGCACCGGCUAACUACGUGCCAGCAGCCGCGGUAAUACGUAGGGUGCGAGCGUUAAUCGGAUUUACUGGGCGUAAAGCGUGCGCAGGCGGCUUUGUAAGACAGAUGUGAACUCCCCGGGCUCAACCUGGGAACUGCAUUUGUGACUGCAAGGGUAGAGUGAGUCAGAGGGAGGUGGAAUUCCGCGUGUAGCAGUGAAAUGAGUAGAGAUGCGGAGGAACACCGAUGGCGAAGGCAGCCUCCUGGGAUGACACUGACGCUCAUGCACGAAAGCGUGGGGAGCAAACA